This 627-nucleotide ribosomal RNA is filed under the name endosymbiont of Sphenophorus levis. RNAcentral's name for it is "bacterial SSU rRNA". It matches the Rfam family "Bacterial small subunit ribosomal RNA", at positions 414 to 1025 of the family's 1533-position model. Lineage: Bacteria; Pseudomonadati; Pseudomonadota; Gammaproteobacteria. The record is from RNAcentral.
GUCUGAGGUUAGUAAAACACUUUCAGCAAGGGAAAAAAUUAUAUAAAUAAUACUUAUAUUAACUGAUAUUACCUGCAAAAGAAGUACCGGCUAACUCCGUGCCAGCAGCCGCGGUAAUACGGAGGGUACAAGCGUUAAUCGGAAUUAUUGGGCGUAAAGAGUACGUACGGUGGUAUAUUAAGUCAGAUGUGAAAUACUUAAGCUUAACUUAAGAACUGCAUUUGAAACUAAUAAACUAGAGUUUUAUAGAGGGGAGUAGAAUUCCAAGUGUAGCGGUGAAAUGCGUAGAUAUUUGGAGGAAUACCAGAGGCGAAGGCGACUCCCUGGGUAAUAACUGACACUGAGGUACGAAAGCUUGGGGAGCAAACAGGAUUAGAUACCCUGGUAGUCCAUGCUGUAAACGAUGUCAAUUUGAAGAUUGUAAUAUUAUUAUUUUUAUAAUUUUCGUAGCUAACGCAUUAAAUUGACCGCCUGGGGAUUACGACCGCAAGGUUAAAACUCAAAUGAAUUGACGGGGACCCGCACAAGCGGUGGAGCAUGUGGUUUAAUUCGAUACCAACGCGAAAAACCUUACUACUCUUGACCUCUAUAAGUAAUAAACGCCGACAUGUUUCACAUCUGUUUCGA